Molecule: long non-coding RNA, 2440 nt
Filed under: Marmota monax (woodchuck)
Lineage: Eukaryota; Metazoa; Chordata; Mammalia; Rodentia; Sciuridae
Source: RNAcentral
CCAGGUGUUGUGGUAUUAUGACACCUACACAGGGAGUGGAUAUUAGCACAGAUGAGGACCAGCUCCACCAGGUGUAUGUGACAGUGAGUGCUGCUCCAAGAUUGCAUUGGGCAAUAACACCAUUAACACAAGCCUCUGGGUGUAGAUUGAACAGCCAGCCUGGAACUUACCAAGGAAAGAUAGAGGCAACUCAGGUCAAUGUGAAGAUUUUGGGAGGCAGAUUUUAAGGACAUGUUUUAAUUCUCCCAACGUAACUAUAUGCACACACACAUGCACUACAAGUCCUGUCUUUAGAUAUCAUUUGUGCUUCUUACACUAGACAUUAUGAGCCCUCAGGAAGAACAUACUACAUAGGGCUUGGAUGCAGCUGGAGAACACUCAGUUUGCUUCCCUCUUAGGAGUUACAUAUAGAUGGAAGAGCUGAGUCUAUUUGCAGGCUUGUGUGUCUGGUUUGAUUGGGGAACCAGAGAAGAGUUGCUGGGAGUGGGGGGCUGAGGGAUUUGGAUUUUGUUACAAGAAUUAGACCAAACCCAAGAGUGGAAAUCCAGAAGGAGCUGUGGGAAUCAAGAGAAGUCACGAGUUAAUCCAGCUGAGAUGCCAAAGCACAGCCAGCUGCUGAAGGGGGCCUGGCAGGAGGCAUGGAGUUCUGUGGGAAGCUGAUGCCAAAGUGAUCGCCUGGUGGGUGUAUAGCCAGGGAUCUGGGGCCAGCCUGGGUCAACACUUGGAAAGCAAAGGUGAAAGUGAAGCAGCAGCAAAGGAAAGGCCACAGUGGAACGGACCAGGCACGCUGGACAACAAAUGGCCAUUUGAGGAAAAUGGCUUGCUUCCCUUUUGCCUUCCAGAGCUCACACCAGCACAUUUUGGAGCCAGUCCUGAUUUGGAACCACCAGAAAAUGGGACUCUGGGAAACGUGGUUCUGAAUUAACCAAGUUGACAUGGUACAAAUGGGCUGCGGUUUACUUUGGAACAUCUAAUUUGAAUGUCAGUAUACAUGUAAGAUGCAUCAUACAGAGGCCCUUCAUCAAAGUGUAUAUGAUUAAUAUUUCAUAGAGUUCAGAUUCAUAGGUGGUUUUUGCCAUUGAUGGUGCAAUACUGGAGAUAGAAAACCCAGGCUGCUCCCAGACUCCCUGCCACCCUUCAUCUGCUCCCUUCUGCCUUGUGUCACCAAAUAUUCUUUAAAUGAAAAUCCAGAAAUGUUCCAUGUGAUACAAUAAUUUACAAAUCAUGCUUUCUUAAAUCUAAACGCUGCUUUAAGGGUUUGUUAUGGCUCAAAAUAAUCUUGGACUAGGGAAGCUGAAGGGAACCUAUCUCUGCAUACUAGAAUCGGCUCCCAUCUCAUUUUGUAUAGGACGAGCUAAGUCAAGAUCAGAAAGGUUGGCUAUAGGACCAGAGUAGACCCCUACUCUCCUACCUGCCCAACAGUGGACACCACCCAACUUUAAUCUCAGUCCAUUUCAAUUUUAAAAUAUUUAAAUUUUUUUAAAAAAAAUUUAGUUGUAGAUGGACACACAGUAUCUAUCUUUAUUUUUAUGUGGUGCUGAGGAUCGAACCCGGCGCUUCAUACAUUCGAGGCAAGCACUUUACCACUGAGCUACAGCCCAUCCCUCAGGAACCAAUUUUGAGGACAAUAUUUUAUAAAGCAGAGAGUUGGAGAAUGGGAAUAGGAAAGAUAGUAGAAUGGAUUAGACAUUACUAUCCUAUAUGCGUAUAUGAUUACAUGGCCAGUGUAAUUCUACAUCAUGUACAACCAGAAGAACGAGAAGUUAUAUACUCCAUAUAGGUAUAAUAUGUCAAAAUACAGUCUAUCAUGUAUAACAAAUUUAAAAAAGCAGAGACAGAGCUGCUUCAUGUUUACAGGGUUUUCUGUUCCAUGAGGAGUUCACAUCUGGGUCACUCUUGAAGGUGCUUAUAAUGCCUUUGAUUUACCUGAGUUAAAAACUGGGGGAUUCUCCAGUGAGUCCCCCCAUGAGUGGAUUCCAAGGCAGAGAAAUGCUGCCAGAGGAUCUCACUUAAUCAGCUACGUUUAUCCAUUAGAGGCGCUCUUUGUUCUGGAUUUGUUAUCUUUGAACAUUGAAAAACGUUUGCACUGAAAUGUUUUUAGAAGAAAAAUAACACAGAAUUGCCUUUGGUUGUAGAGAAGGAAGCCCUUCCACUAUGUCGAGUUUUGUGCUGUCGUCUCUAGAAAUUAUUGGAAUGAUUAGGGAAUAAGCGUUCUGCUGUAGAGCAGCCACAGUGGUAAUUUUUCAGACCAUCUAAAUUAAUAACACUAAAAUAGAAGGCUCUGAGUAGAUAAAAGCCUUUUUAGAAAAACCUGUGAACCAAUUAAUCACCCGUUUGGGUUGCAAACCCUAAUAGGAAAGUGUUUGGACUUACAUCACCAUGUGUAUGUUUAUUAAUAAAUUUGUGCAUAACUAAAUUAUUCUGGAAGUUUUGAAUGAAG